CCUGGCGGCCGUAGCGCGGUGGUCCCACCUGACCCAUGCCGAACUCAGAAGUGAAACGCCGUAGCGCCGAUGGUAGUGUGGGGUCUCCCCAUGCGAGAGUAGGGAACUGCCAGGC
RNAcentral lists this ribosomal RNA (115 nucleotides) under Escherichia coli. The record is from RNAcentral. RNAcentral also lists the same sequence under 2 other names. Lineage: Bacteria; Pseudomonadati; Pseudomonadota; Gammaproteobacteria; Enterobacterales; Enterobacteriaceae.